Molecule: long non-coding RNA, 245 nt
Filed under: Homo sapiens (human)
Lineage: Eukaryota; Metazoa; Chordata; Mammalia; Primates; Hominidae
Description: HSALNT0400664
Source: RNAcentral
UCCAUUCUGUUCAAUUCCUUUCCGUUCAAUUCCUUUCCAUUCCAUUCCAUUCCAUUCCAUUCCAUUCCAUUCCAUUCCAUUCCAUUCCAUUCCGGUUGAUUCCAUUCCAUUCCAUUCCAUUACAUUCCAUUCCGUUCCUUUCCAUUCCAUUUCACUCGGGUUAAUUCCAUUCCAUUCCAUUCAAUUCCAUUCCACUCGGGUUGAUUCCAUUCCAUUCCAUUCCAUUCAAUUCCAUUCCACUCGGG